This 469-nucleotide ribosomal RNA is filed under the name uncultured Pseudonocardiaceae bacterium. RNAcentral describes it as "bacterial SSU rRNA". It matches the Rfam family "Bacterial small subunit ribosomal RNA", at positions 28 to 508 of the family's 1533-position model. The record is from RNAcentral. Lineage: Bacteria; Bacillati; Actinomycetota; Actinomycetes; Pseudonocardiales; Pseudonocardiaceae.
GACGAACGCUGGCGGCGUGCUUAACACAUGCAAGUCAAGCGGUAAGGCCCUUUCGGGGGUACACGAGCGGCGAACGGGUGAGUAACACGUGGGCGACCUGCCCUCAGCUCUGGGAUAAGCCCGGGAAACUGGGUCUAAUACCGGAUAUGACCUCUCAUCGCAUGGUGGGUGGUGGAAAGUUUUUUCGGCUGAGGAUGGGCCCGCGGCCUAUCAGCUUGUUGGUGGGGUGAUGGCCUACCAAGGCGACGACGGGUAGCCGGCCUGAGAGGGCGACCGGCCACACUGGGACUGAGACACGGCCCAGACUCCUACGGGAGGCAGCAGUGGGGAAUAUUGCGCAAUGGGCGGAAGCCUGACGCAGCGACGCCGCGUGGGGGAUGACGGCCUUCGGGUUGUAAACCUCUUUCGACCUUGACGAAGGCCUUCGGGUUGACGGUAGGGGUAGAAGAAGCACCGGCCAACUACGUGC